Molecule: long non-coding RNA, 209 nt
Organism: Megalops cyprinoides (Indo-Pacific tarpon)
Lineage: Eukaryota; Metazoa; Chordata; Actinopteri; Elopiformes; Megalopidae
Exons: 3
Source: RefSeq, a predicted model, not a curated record
CUGAAGAGUCCACACUGUAAACUGGAGAUACUGGGCAUUACUAUGCAUAGAUACAAUCGCCUGCUGGAUUCAGGAGUGAUGCUGUUCUCUACUGGACUGGAGAAUCCACACUGUAAACUGGCGAGAUUGGAGUACAGUUAGAGCUGCUGAAGAAGUGGAAAAGGUGGAAGCUGGGGAAGGACAUAGAGGAGGAGUCCAGACAGGCAGCC